RNAcentral lists this long non-coding RNA (795 nucleotides) under Serinus canaria (Common canary). RNAcentral describes it as "lncRNA (ENSSCAG00000012262.1)". Lineage: Eukaryota; Metazoa; Chordata; Aves; Passeriformes; Fringillidae. The record is from RNAcentral.
AUGUCAGAGUCCCUCAGUACUGGGAGCAGGAACCUCCACUGCCGCACCUUUCCCUCCCGUAGUGGAAUUUUUGUGUCUCAGCCUAUGUUUGGUGACUCCUGCUGGCAAGUAUCCCUCAAAGACAGGAUUUCAUCCCAAAUCCAGGCGCUGGUGGUCGGUGUCCUGACAGCCAUCGGCGACCACGUGCUGAAGCCGUUCCUGGCGGCGGCGUUCCACAGCCUCCUGCAGCCGCUCCUGCUCUUCCUGCUGAAGGUGCUGGGCGGCGUGCGGGACCUGACGGAGCCCGUGCUGGACGUGGUGGCCCGGAUAAGAUAAGGAGGAAGAAUUCCUGGGAAUUGCGGACGAGCGGGACCAGCUGCGGCCCAGGAGGCUCCGGAGGGACCGUGAUCUCCACGUUUAUCUCCACGUGUGUCCGGGCAGGGGCAGCACACGGCGUGCUGGGGGUUGGUUUGGAUCUUCUAGUUCUGCAAAUAUCUCCUUCACUUAAUUAAAUUCCAAUUUUAUCCAUUGGACCAUUGCUCCAGUGAGGUGUUUUUCCUCUUCCUGCCUGGAAAAGUCGGCUUUUCACUGAGUAGGACUUCCCUGUGCAGUCUCUUGCCACCAGAUGGGUUCCACUAGCUGUGGUGGUGCCCAGGGCCUGUGCCUCGGGCACUGCCGGGAGGGGAUGGCUUCUGCCAGCUUCCAGCUCUCUGGAAUGGUCUCCAGAGCCAGUGGUAUGGGACAGACUGGGAUUUGGGGGCGAUUGAAAAAUAGGGAUUACAAUAUAACGGAAUAACCACCUCUGUGUUCCUAACA